AGAGUUUUGAGGACGACCUUGGACACAGCCUAGAUUAAAAACAAGCAAAGACAGAGUUCACCAAAUCCAACUGACACAGACUGUGUCUGACAGCAAAUGCAGUAUCCCACACCUGUAGGCCCCAGCUUUGCAAUGAAGAGAGGAAGGUGCAUUUCCUCAACUUUUCUCUGAGCCCAAGACCAGAGACUUUCCUAUGGAAAAUGGAAAGCACUUCCCUCUCGGCUACUAACUACCCAUGUAACCUUGGGCAGCACGGGCUGAGGAAAAACAGCAUGGAACUCAAAAGUCAGAAGACAUCAUCUUCAUCAUCCAUAUCAUCAUCAUCUUCUUCGUCAUCAUCAUCAUCUUCAUUUAUAUGGGUUCAGAGUUGGAAGAAAUAUUGGAGAUCAUAUAGUCAAAACUCCUCAUCUUAUGGAUGAAGAAAAUGAAACCCAGACAACAGGAGAAAUUACUUGGCCAAAGCCUCCAAAGUGGUCAGCAACUAAGGAGGGAAAGGAGCUUCACUCCUCCAGUUCCAAAACCGUGCUCCUUCCUCUAUUCUUACUUUGUGGGUCACAACACAAAAGCUCUGGUUUUGGAAGUAAACAAAUGAGCUUAUUUUUCUUUUGUAAUUAAUUAAUUUAUCAUCCUGAACUUAACAAACAGCAAAGUAAAAUGUGCAUUUCAAUGUACAUACUACAGCAAAAAGAAAAAAAGAGGAACAUUAUAAAUAUAACUGCUCUCAAUUAUUUAUAACAUAUGAUAAAUUUAAUGUGUAGCACCCAAAGUUAUCCUACUUAUCUCUGAUUUUAAAAAUCUUCCUUCUGUUCUCUUCUGUGCAUUUUUUAAAUGUUUCAAUCAAACUCUUUUCUUUCUUUUUCUUCUUUUUUCUGCCCUAUCCCUCCCACUCACCUACUCCCAAAUGGGGGAAAAAAAGAAAAGAAAAAUGGGCUUAUUUUGUAAUCCCUUCCAGGUGAUUUCACGUUAUAGACCUCUUUGGCACAUUUAUAAAACUUACUGACCUCUUUUGAGAGUAAAGUUUUUAAAUUCAUAGAAUAGAAUACCUAGUAUCACAAAGAAAACCAGUUAUGGUGAAGUAUAGCUCUCAAGAUAAUUUGUAAAAACAAGUUCACAGACCCAGGGUUAAAAAGCCCCACUUUAAACGAACUUAAAGGUUCUCACAAAGCACGUUACACCUAUACGCUCUUGACUUCUCUGGGGCUUGAUUUCCUGCCCUGUAAAAUGAAGGAGUUGAAUUAGGUGAUGUCUGACAUCCCCUCCUGCUUCCAUCCUACCCUGAGAAUACAAUUUCUAAAAUAAGAAUAGAGAAUGUUCAAGUCUAUCCAGCAGAGGGUGCCACAACCCACAAAAGAAAUGCUUGCCAGAGAACUUGACCCUUUCCCCAUAAUCAUCCCUAUUCCCUGAGUAACUAGUACUCUGAGGAUGGGGGAAGAGCCAGAGAAAUAAAAGGGCAGGAGGAGACAGAGGUGGAGGCUGUUUGUCUCCUGAAUGCUGCACAUUCAUUCUCCCUGCCCAAUUUAAACAAAGCACCACUUUUCUAAUGUAUUACUUGAGAAAAGUAUAUUACAUCCCUCAGAAAUGGGCUUUGUUAUGUAUUGCCAAAGCUGCCUGGCUAAUCUUUGUGCAAAUGAGGCUCCAAAUAUAAAUGACUGAUGAGAGAAGGACCAGAGAGAGGGAUGGUUGCUGCCUGGGACGGUUUUGUUCUGGUUUUGUUUUUGUUUUUUAGUAAUGAGAAAUAUUCGGUUGUUAUCCCAAAGGAUCCACAUUAGAACUUUUCUUGGGGCAUUAGACACAGGUGGAUUGGAAUAGAGAACUGUGGCUUGGUGCAGGGAUUCAAUUCCAUUUUGUAGACAUCCCCUAAGUGACUUCUAAGUGCCAGGCACUGAGCUCCUUGCUGGAGAUACAAAGACAAAAGCGAAAAAUAGAUCCUUCCCUCCAGAACCUUAGGUUCUGAGAUUCAGAGCUAGCCAGGACCUUACAGACCACUGAGUUCAACCAAGUUCAUUAUACAAAUGAUGAAACAGUGACUUGCCCAGGGCCACACAACCAGUAUGAGCCUGAGGCAGGCAGCAAACUCAGUCCUUCCUAGGCUCUAGGAGAUCUAAUAGACAUGCAGGUAAAUAAAUACCAAGUGACCCCAAGAGAAAGGACCAGCACACCUGAGCUGCGGAUUAGAUUAACCCGGGCUGGGGAUUUACAGAGGCAAAGGUGCAGUGGAGAGCGUCCAAGGCAUGAGGAACCACUUGUAUUUGGAUCAGGAGGAGGAGAGUAAGGAGCAAGUUCAUGUGACCAGAAAGGAGAAAGCGUGAAGUGAAUAAUAGGAAAGAAGACCGACAGUGUUGGUGGGAGCCUUACUACAGAGGGCUCUGCCUGGCUAGUUCAUGGUUUGUCUUGGGGGCAAUAGGGAGCCAUUGGAAUGUUCUGAGUUAGGGUGUGAUAUAGUCAGAGUUAAGUUUUAGGAAUGUUGGUUGUGUGGAGGGUGGUUUAUAGAGGGGAGAGAUCAAAAAGUCAGUUAGGUAAUCUACAUCAAAUUGAUUUUUCAAAGAGAAGGAAG
Phascolarctos cinereus (koala) is the source of this 2554-nucleotide non-coding RNA. Lineage: Eukaryota; Metazoa; Chordata; Mammalia; Diprotodontia; Phascolarctidae. The record is from RefSeq and is a predicted model, not a curated record.